Molecule: ribosomal RNA, 505 nt
Filed under: Whitea fissicauda
Lineage: Eukaryota; Metazoa; Arthropoda; Insecta; Orthoptera; Thericleidae
Description: partial 16S ribosomal RNA
Rfam family: Archaeal large subunit ribosomal RNA
Source: RNAcentral
GUCUUCUUUUAUUAAUAUUAAGUCUGGCCUGCUCACUGAAAGUUUUAAAUAGCCGCGGUAUUUUGACCGUGCAAAGGUAGCAUAAUCAUUAGUUUUUUAAUUAAAGACUGGAAUGAAUGGAUUGACGAGGGGAUAACUGUCUCUGAUUAAUAAAUAAAAUUUAACCUUUGAGUUAAAAGGCUCAAAUUUAGUUUUAGGACGAGAAGACCCUAUAGAGCUUUAUAUAUAUAUAUUAUACAAUAUUAUGUUAAUUUUUUUAUUUAAAUAUUAUUUAUAUUUUGUUGGGGUGACAUGGAGAAUAAUUAAACUCUCUUUUAUUACUUCAUUUAUUGAUGUAUUUAAGAUCCACAAUUAGUGAUAAAAAGUUUAAGUUACCUUAGGGAUAACAGCGUAAUUAUUAUUGAGAGUUCUUAUUGACAUAAUAGAUUGCGACCUCGAUGUUGGAUUAAGAUAAAUAUAUGGUGCAGAAAUCAUAUAAUUAGGUCUGUUCGACCUUUAAAUUCUU